Molecule: ribosomal RNA, 213 nt
Filed under: Klebsiella aerogenes
Lineage: Bacteria; Pseudomonadati; Pseudomonadota; Gammaproteobacteria; Enterobacterales; Enterobacteriaceae
Also listed under: 9 other names
Description: partial 23S ribosomal RNA
Rfam family: Bacterial large subunit ribosomal RNA
Source: RNAcentral
GGUUAAGCGACUAAGCGUACACGGUGGAUGCCCUGGCAGUCAGAGGCGAUGAAGGACGUGCUAAUCUGCGAAAAGCGUCGGUAAGGUGAUAUGAACCGUUACAGCCGGCGAUGUCCGAAUGGGGAAACCCAGUGCAAUUCGUUGCACUAUCGUUAACUGAAUACAUAGGUUAACGAGGCGAACCGGGGGAACUGAAACAUCUAAGUACCCCGA